RNAcentral lists this ribosomal RNA (975 nucleotides) under Protimesius amplichelis. Its description in RNAcentral is "partial large subunit ribosomal RNA". It matches the Rfam family "Eukaryotic large subunit ribosomal RNA", at positions 164 to 853 of the family's 3401-position model. The record is from RNAcentral. Lineage: Eukaryota; Metazoa; Arthropoda; Arachnida; Opiliones; Stygnidae.
ACUCCUCCGGGCACCGACUCCGGUGCAAGUCCCCCUGACCGGGGCUCCCACCCCGAGAGGGUGCAAGGCCCGUAGCGGCCGGAAGGCGGUCCCGGAUGUCCUCUCCUGGGAGUCGGGUUGCUUGAGAGUGCAGCCCCAAUCGGGUGGUAAACUCCAUCUAAGGCUAAAUACGACCUGGAGACCGAUAGCGAACAAGUACCGUGAGGGAAAGUUGAAAAGGACUUUGAAGAGAGAGUUCAAGAGUACGUGAAACCGUUCGGAGGUAAACGAGUGGGCCCUCGAAGUGCUGAAGGCGGGGGGACUCAGCCGAACGCCGUCGAGCCCGCCGGUGCGUCCCGCGCUUCCCGAAAAGGACGCGGCGCACCGGUGCGCUGGCUCCGGCGCGCGGCGCAUUUCCUCCCGUCCUCCGACGCUGCGACCGGUCGGGCGCGCCACGAGCAGUCGGCCUUACUCGCGGGAAACGGAAGGUAGCCGGGUAGGCGCACACGCGCCCUCCCCGGUGUUUUAUCCGUCCCGUCCUCGAGUCAGCCGUUCGCCCGACCGCAGGACUCGGCCCUCAGGGGCCUCCAGCCGCGCCCUCCCCGACUGCGGGGAUCGGAGCUCGCCCCGGAAGGGAUGCCGUCGCUACUUUUUCCCUCGCCACACCCCCGGUGUGCUUGGGGCGGCGGCGCCCGCUGGCCGGGGCGAUUUCGAGCGGGCGCAGGCGGUCCGCAGCGAGUAGGUCGGUCACCCACUCGACCCGUCUUGAAACACGGACCAAGGAGUUUAACAUGCGCGCGAGUCACUGGGUCGUGAGCAGGCCCAAGGGCGCAAUGAAAGUGAAGGUCGGCCCUCGCCGUCCGCGUUGGGAUCCGCCGGCCUCCGCGCCGGCGGCGCACCAACGGCUCGUCCGGGCCGCCUCGUCGGCCGGGCGAAGCUAGAGCGCGCACGUUGAGACCCGAAAGAUGGUGAACUAUGGCUGGGCAGGACGAAGCC